CGACCGGCGCACGGGUGAGUAACACGUAUGAAACCUGCCCGUAGCAGGGGGAUAAGCGGAAGAAAUUCCGUCUAAUACCGCGUAACAACCCAUGGAGGCAUCUCUGUGGGUUUAAAGGAAGCGAUUCCGGCUACGGAUGGUCAUGCGUCGCAUUAGCUUGUUGGCGGGGUAACGGCCCACCAAGGCGACUAUGCGUAGGGGUUCUGAGAGGAAGGUCCCCCACACUGGUACUGAGACACGGACCAGACUCCUACGGAAGGCAGCAG
Molecule: ribosomal RNA, 266 nt
Filed under: uncultured bacterium
Lineage: Bacteria
Description: partial 16S ribosomal RNA
Rfam family: Bacterial small subunit ribosomal RNA
Source: RNAcentral